CCUACGGGAGGCAGCAGUGAGGAAUAUUGGUCAAUGGGCGGAAGCCUGAACCAGCCACGUAGCGUGCAGGAUGACGGCCCUACGGGUUGUAGACUGCUUUUAUACGGGAAUAACGCGCCUUACGUGUAGGGCUUUCCAUGUACCGUAUGAAUCAGGACCGGCUAAUUCCGUGCCAGCAGCCGCGGUAAUACGGAGGGUCCGGGCGUUAUCCGGAUUUAUUGGGUUUAAAGGGCGCGUAGGCCGCAUGUCAAGCGUGCUGUGAAAUGUCCGGGCUCAACCCGGGGCUUGCAGCGCGAACUGGCGGGCUUGAGUGCGCGGAAAGCAGGCGGAAUUCGUCGUGUAGCGGUGAAAUGCUUAGAUAUGACGAAGAACCCCGAUUGCGAAGGCAGCUUGCUGCAGCGGAACUGACGCUGAUGCUCGAAAGCGCGGGUAUCGAACAGGAUUAGAUACCCUUGUAGUC
This 460-nucleotide ribosomal RNA is filed under the name uncultured bacterium. Its description in RNAcentral is "partial 16S ribosomal RNA". It matches the Rfam family "Bacterial small subunit ribosomal RNA", at positions 338 to 795 of the family's 1533-position model. The record is from RNAcentral.